AUACGUAGGGUGCAAGCGUUAAUCGGAAUUACUGGGCGUAAAGCGUGCGCAGGCGGUUUUGUAAGACAGUGGUGAAAUCCCCGGGCUCAACCUGGGAAAUGCCAUUGUGACUGCAAGGCUGGAGUGCGGCAGAGGGGGAUGGAAUUCCGCGUGCAGCAGUGAAAUGCGUAGAUAUGCGGAGGAACACCGAUGGCGAAGGCAAUCCCCUGGGCCUGCACUGACGCGCAUGCACGAAAGCGUGGGGAGCAAACAGGAUUAGAUACCCUGGUAGUCCACGCCCUAAACGAUGUCAACUGGUUGUUGGGGAUUUAUUUUCUCAGUAACGAAGCUAACGCGUGAAGUUGACCGCCUGGGGAGUACGGCCGCAAGGUUAAAACUCAAAGGAAUUGACGGGU
RNAcentral lists this ribosomal RNA (395 nucleotides) under uncultured bacterium. Its description in RNAcentral is "partial 16S ribosomal RNA". It matches the Rfam family "Bacterial small subunit ribosomal RNA", at positions 523 to 918 of the family's 1533-position model. The record is from RNAcentral.